CCUACGGGAGGCAGCAGUGAGGAAUAUUGGUCAAUGGGAGAGAUCCUGAACCAGCCAAGCCGCGUGAGGGAAGACGGCCCUAUGGGUUGUAAACCUCUUUUGUCGGAGAACAAAACCCGGGACGUGUCCCGGACUGCGUGUAUCCGAAGCAAAAGCAUCGGCUAACUCCGUGCCAGCCGCCGCGGUAAUACGGAGGAUGCGAGCGUAAUCCGGAGUUAUUUGGUUUAAAGGGUGCGUAGUGGGUCCGGUAAGUCAGCGGGAAAAUUGCGGGGCUCAACCCCGUCGAGCCGUUGAAACUGGCAGACGUGAGUUGGCGAGAAGUACGCGGAAUGCGAGGUGUAGCGGUGAAAUGCAUAGAUAUCGCGAAGAACUCCGAUUGCGAAGGCAGCGUACCGGCGCCAGACUGACGCUGAGGCACGAAAGCGUGGGGAUCGAACAGGAUUAGAUACCCGAGUAGUC
Molecule: ribosomal RNA, 459 nt
Filed under: uncultured bacterium
Lineage: Bacteria
Description: partial 16S ribosomal RNA
Rfam family: Bacterial small subunit ribosomal RNA
Source: RNAcentral